AAUACAUCAGAUUUCUCAGUUAAUUUGCCACUUGAAGCAUAUUCAGGGGCCAUGUAUCCAAAAGUCCCCAUAACACGUGUGGUAACAUGUGUAUUUGCAUCAAAAGCUAACUUGGCAAGCCCAAAGUCUGAAACCUUAGCUUCAAAAUUGUUAUCCAAAAGAAUGUUUGAUGAUUUAAUAUCCCUGUGAAUAACCCGAGGAUGACAGUCUUCAUGGAGAUA
This 221-nucleotide unclassified non-coding RNA is filed under the name Hevea brasiliensis (rubber tree). The record is from RNAcentral. Lineage: Eukaryota; Viridiplantae; Streptophyta; Magnoliopsida; Malpighiales; Euphorbiaceae.